RNAcentral lists this ribosomal RNA (1312 nucleotides) under fermentation metagenome. RNAcentral describes it as "bacterial LSU rRNA". It matches the Rfam family "Bacterial large subunit ribosomal RNA", at positions 1224 to 2523 of the family's 2925-position model. The record is from RNAcentral.
UUGGGUAGGGGAGCAUCCUGCAUGGAUAGAAGCAGUACCGUAAGGAGCUGUGGACUAUGCAGGAGAGAGAAUGCUGGCAUAAGUAGCGAAAGGAAGGUGAGAAUCCUUCCCGUCGAAAACCUAAGGUUUCCUGAGGAAGGUUCGUCCACUCAGGGUUAGUCGGGACCUAAGACGAGGCCGAAAGGCGUAGUCGAUGGACAAUCGGUUGAUAAUCCGAUACCGUAAGCUAACGUGAUGCACUAACGUGCAUCUUAAGAAAUGUGGUGACACAGGAGGAUAGCUCUAGCACACUGAUGGAUAUGUGUGCUCAAGCAAUGAGUCUGACAUAUAGGCAAAUCCGUAUGUCAAAAGGAUGAGUUGUGAUGAGGAAGAAGGCAGCUUGCUGCUUUAAGAGAGUGAAUUCACACUGUCGAGAAAAGCCACUAUCGAGGAAGCUUGCGCCCGUACCGCAAACCGACACAGGUAGGUGGGGAGAGAAUCCUAAGACGAACGGGAGAACCCUUGUUAAGGAACUCGGCAAAUUAACCCCGUAACUUCGGGAGAAGGGGUGCCUACGAAAGUAGGCCGCAGUGAAAAGGCCCAAGCGACUGUUUACCAAAAACACAGGUAUCUGCUAAAGCGAAAGCUGAAGUAUAGGUGCUGACGCCUGCCCAGUGCUGGAAGGUUAAGGGGAAAUGUAAGGGAAACCGAAGCAUAGAACUGAAGCCCCAGUGAACGGCGGCCGUAACUAUAACGGUCCUAAGGUAGCGAAAUUCCUUGUCGGGUAAGUUCCGACCCGCACGAAUGGCGUAACGACUUGGGCACUGUCUCAACAAGGGACCCGGCGAAAUUGUAGUACCAGUGAAGAUGCUGGUUACCCGCGAUAGGACGGAAAGACCCCGUAGAGCUUUACUGUAGUUUAGUAUUGAGUUUCGGUAUUGUCUGUACAGUAUAGGUGGGAGACUAAGAACCAUAUACGCAAGUAAAUGGGGAGUCGCUGUUGGGAUACCACCCUGAUAAUACUAAAAUUCUAACCGGGAUCCAUGAAACUGGAUACGGGACAUUGCUAGGCAGGCAGUUUGACUGGGGCGGUCGCCUCCUAAAGAGUAACGGAGGCGUCCAAAGGUUCCCUCAGAGCGGUUGGAAAUCGCUCGAAGAGUAUAAAGGCAUAAGGGAGCCUGACUGCGAGACCAACAAGUCGAGCAGGGACGAAAGUCGGGCUUAGUGAUCCGGUGGCACUGAGUGGAAGGGCCAUCGCUCAACGGAUAAAAGCUACCUCGGGGAUAACAGGCUUAUCUCCCCCAAGAGUCCACAUCGACGGGGAGGUUUGGCA